Molecule: ribosomal RNA, 429 nt
Filed under: Gemmatimonadota bacterium
Lineage: Bacteria; Pseudomonadati; Gemmatimonadota
Description: Gemmatimonadetes bacterium partial 16S ribosomal RNA
Rfam family: Bacterial small subunit ribosomal RNA
Source: RNAcentral
UAGGGAAUCUUCGGCAAUGGACGAAAGUCUGACCGAGCAACGCCGCGUGAGUGAAGAAGGUUUUCGGAUCGUAAAACUCUGUUGUUAGAGAAGAACAAGGACGUUAGUAACUGAACGUCCCCUGACGGUAUCUAACUAGAAAGCUACGGCUAACUACGUGCCAGCAGCCGCGGUAAUACGUAGGUGGCAAGCGUUGUCCGGUUUUAUUGGGCGUAAAGCGAGCGCAGGCGGUUUCUUAAGUCUGAUGUGAAAGACCCCGGCUCAACCGGGGAGGGUCAUAGGAAACUGGGAGACUUGAGUGCAGAAGAGGGUAGUGGAAUUCGAUGUGUAGCGGUGAAAUGCGUAGAUAUAUGGAGGAACACCAGUGGCGAAGGCGGAUCUCUGAUCUGUAACUAACGCUGAGGCUCGAAAACGUGGGGAGCAAACAGG